AGGUACCUAUUUAUUUUGAGUUUUUUCUGUGUCAAACACAAAGGUUGAAUGUAUGGCUUAGCACUAACUUCAUGUGGGUUUUUCUGCUCAAGUUAUUUCAGUUAUAUGCCUCAGUUAAUACUUCGCAGGAUCUUGAGGAGUUCUUUUGUGUUGUAUUGAUUUGAAGGUGAAGCACAUUCCUCGGAUUUUGCUCUGUUGUCAUAGCACUUUCAGAUUUGAAGUUAUGUUUCCCAAGUAAGAAGUAGUAUCUUUGUGCUUUUAGCAAUGAGAAUAUUUGAGGAACUACCUAUUACAACAUCAUUUUCUAGGAAAAUUAGAUCAUAACAAGAGACGAUGAAUCAUUUAUUUUCUUUGUUGUGGGUAGGGUCAAAUUUUGAAUUACCAAGCUUUUGUAUGAUUUUGAUUGACCAGGCUUGCUUGCUGCUUGCUUGUCAAUCAAGCUAUGUUGGUGGAUUUUAGAGACAAACUUGUCUUAGAAUAAGACUAUCUAGAAGCAGCAAGGCAAAGACAUCCAUUGCAUUACUAACUGGGAUAAUUUUGACUUGUUAGCUACACCCUUUGGAUGGUCCUAAUUGUAGAAAAUUAUUAUAGACAAUCAACCCUUCAAAUUUCACCAUCAUGAAAGAAUCUAAAUAUAGUAUGUUUUCUUCUCUUACUUUUUUAUUAUACUCUUCUACUCUUAUAAUUCAUCAAAUGCUAACUAUUACUGUCACUUUAAUGCUCGGAACCCCUGGUUGAUAAUUUAUAGUGGGUCAGUUCUGUGUUGAUUUCUCUCAUGAUGAUUGAUGCUUUGUUACAUAGAUAGAAAAAAAUUGAGAAAUCAGAUGGAGAAGGAAUGGCACAACCGUGAAAAAUAAGUCAGAUGCUUGUUGAAAGAUAUAUACUGUGAGUUUCAUAUAUUUUGGUUCUAUAAGGAUUCAAUUUUUUAAGGAGGCCGGAGUGGAGAAGUAGAUGUGACAUAGAGAAACAUGACUAUGCAGGGGAAACGGUAAAUCACACUUUGACAAAUGUUUCUAUAGUCAUGUGUUAUUCUGUAGCCACUGAGCAAAUGCAUCGACAUACAUGUGUCAGAGACGCUGUAUGCUCUUUGAUUGUUGAUAAUUUUUUGUUUCUCGUGGACCUUGUUUGACUUUUGGAUGUGGUGUAAAUUCUAUGGGCUAAUAUGUCAAGCUUUCGAUGGUUCACUAUGUACGCUUGUUUGGUGAUUCAAUAUUUGUCAGUGUGGUAAUAAGCCACAUACGACACAAAUUCUUCUAUUUUGCCGAACACAUCCUCUUGAAGUACAAGAUAUUUUUAUAACCAUGUCUACAACUCUUGAUCUCUAUGCCUAAAUUUAUUGUUUGGUGCCAUUGUGACCAAUAUCCCUUAAGCUAUACGAGCUUUGAUUGAGAACAUGGAGAUACAUUUUGUCUUACUCGUGAUGAUAAGUAUGUAUGUCGACUAUUUUAUGGCCGAGUGCUUUUAGCAGUGGGCUUGUUAGGGCAAUGAAGGACGGUUCUGGACCUUCUCCUCAACCAACGUUGACGGAGAGCAAUGAGUUGACUGUGUUUGCUGAUGACGGCGAUAAAACUGGCAAG
This 1577-nucleotide long non-coding RNA is filed under the name Triticum aestivum (bread wheat). RNAcentral describes it as "long non-coding RNA (TAES_LNC002767)". The record is from RNAcentral. Lineage: Eukaryota; Viridiplantae; Streptophyta; Magnoliopsida; Poales; Poaceae.